CAGACCUUACCAUCCCUGCAUGCAUGUUACCAGAGAGAUUGGGUCUCUUCGGAGCGUGCACACAGGUGCUGCAUGCUGUCUCAGCUCGUGUCGUGAGAUGUUGGUUAAGUCCGCACGAGCGAACCCACGUCCUUAGUUGCCAUCAUUCAUUGGCAUCUAGGGAGACUGCCGGUGAUAAGCCGCGAGGAGGUGUGGAUGACGUCAAGUCCUCAUGGCCCUUACGGGAUGGCUACACACGUGCUACAAUGGCGUUGACAGAGGGACGCGAAGGGGCGACUUGGAGCAAAUCCCGAAAAACCGUCUCAGUUCGGAUUGCACUCUGCAACUCGGGUGCAUGAAGGCGGAAUCGCUAGUAAUCGUGGAUCAGCAUGCCACGGUGAAUACGUUCCCGGGCCUUGUACACACCGCCCGUCACACCAUGGGAGUUGGUCUUACCCGACGGCGCUGCGCCAACCGCAAGGAGGCAGGCGACCACGGUAGGGUCAGCGACUGGGGUGAAGUCGUAACAAGGUAACCGUA
This 519-nucleotide ribosomal RNA is filed under the name uncultured Methylobacterium sp. RNAcentral describes it as "bacterial SSU rRNA". It matches the Rfam family "Bacterial small subunit ribosomal RNA", at positions 965 to 1504 of the family's 1533-position model. The record is from RNAcentral. Lineage: Bacteria; Pseudomonadati; Pseudomonadota; Alphaproteobacteria; Hyphomicrobiales; Methylobacteriaceae.